AGUGAACGCUGGCGGUAGGCCUAACACAUGCAAGUCGAACGGCAGCACAGUAAGAGCUUGCUCUUACGGGAGGCGAGUGGCGGACGGGUGAGGAAUACAUCGGAAUCUACUUUUUCGUGGGGGAUAACGUAGGGAAACUUACGCUAAUACCGCAUACGACCUACGGGUGAAAGCAGGGGAUCUUCGGACCUUGCGCGAUUGAAUGGGCCGAUGUCGGAUUAGCUAGUUGGCGGGGUAAAGGCCCACCAAGGCGACGCUCCGUAGCUGGUCUGAGAGGGUGAUCAGCCAGACUGGAACUGAGACACGGUCCAGACUCCUACGGGAGGCAGCAGUGGGGAAUAUUGGACAAUGGGCGCAAGCCUGAUCCAGCCAUACCGCGUGGGUGAAGAAGGACUUCGGGUUGUAAAGCCCUUUUGUUGGGAAAGAAAAGCAGCAGGUUAAUACCCCGCUGUUCUGACGGUACCCAAAGAAUAAGCACCGGCUAACUUCGUG
RNAcentral lists this ribosomal RNA (492 nucleotides) under uncultured bacterium. RNAcentral describes it as "partial 16S ribosomal RNA". It matches the Rfam family "Bacterial small subunit ribosomal RNA", at positions 29 to 507 of the family's 1533-position model. The record is from RNAcentral.